Molecule: long non-coding RNA, 1601 nt
Organism: Fukomys damarensis (Damara mole-rat)
Lineage: Eukaryota; Metazoa; Chordata; Mammalia; Rodentia; Bathyergidae
Source: Ensembl
GCGGUGGUUGUUAUGCAGAAAUAGUACCUGACAGUCAGUGCCUUAGGCCUUUCUGGACCAUCUUUACCCAAUUUGGCUUGGGCAAGGUGAACUCCUGGCCGCAGCUGAUUGGACAGGGGAUAGGAACAUGACUUCAAGGCACCAGUCCAUUGCCUGAUGGGUGACCAAUCAGAUUUUUUUUUCCUUUGGAGCCUGUGGAUGAAGCAAUCAGAAACUCUAGCUAGCCAGACUCUGAAGGAGGCUGGAGCUGGGAGUUUUGGGCAGGAAGUAGGGCUGGGGGUUGAAUUAUAGGCUGUCAUGUCAUCAUAGGACACCAAAACAAGGUGAGAAGCAGGAAAGGUGGGAGACUAUGGAACCAGGUCCUGUGAGGCUCCAAUAAGUCAUUCAACUCCAGCAGGUUUGUGUUGCCCCUGAGCCUUGUACCCUAUGAGCCCUGACUUUGGGCCCUAAAAGGCUCAAGGUCCCUCAGCCAGCUGGUGACAAAACCUCCCAAGGACUCCUGCACUGUUUCUCUGACCCUGCUGCCUGUUGUGACAUCCCCUUCCUCACCCCAUGCCACACAGGUGUGGCCUUGUUCCCCAGGACCCUGAAUAUGGCUGUUCUGUCCUGGGCAGUGCAGUGCUGGCCCCUAGGCUGCUCCCAUCCUCCACAUAGCCUCCCUCACUUGGGGUUCUAGCUCUGUGGACCCAUUAAAAACCCAUAGGGAUCUUAGCCCCAUCCUGCAUGUGGGGCUCAGUGGUGGAAAAGGGAUUUAAAGUCUGCCUGGCUCCAGAACCCAUGUCUGUCUUCUGGGAAGCACUAAGCAGGCUCUUUCCCUUCUGAGCCUCAUAUCCUGACUGCAUGAAGCCAGAAGGGGCCAGGGGUGAGCUACUCCCCUAACACUCCCUGUUCUGGGUAUCAUCCUUGGUAGGCCCAUCUCAUGGAGGAUUGGGCCUGGGCACAGCUCUGCCAGGGCUCCUGGAAAACAGACUGGGCCAAGGACUCCAGACCCUGUGUGCCCCAGACACUGCCUCAGACCACAUCCCUGGUCCUUGGCUGGCAGGCCACUUGUGCCUGAGGAUGCCUGUCUCUGAUCCCAAGUGGUCUCGACUUCUACACAGCUCUGAGAAGCCCUGAGAUGGACUUAGAAAUUUGUGGUUCUGGGACCUAGAACCAGGCCCUGGUCCUGUCACUUGGAAGCUGAGAGACUUCCAAUAGCUACCGCCCUCUCUGAUCCUCACCCUCUGAGUUUGUACAGGAGUUGCACCUGACCAUCGUCGUCUCUGCCACCCCUCUGUAGAAGGCUUCCUAAGUGCCGGCCAUGGCACCAACCAAUACCUGCACCUCACUUGCUCAUCUGAUCCUCCCGGAGACUCAAAGCAGUCAGGACAGCUCACUUCACAGCCAGAAAACGGAGGCUCAGAGGUGUGAAGGGAUCAUGCCAUGUGGCUGCUGUUAGAACUGGAACACUAGAACUUGGUCCUGGCCCAGAGCCUUCUAAGCAUGCAUGGUCUGCCCCAGGGUCCUAUGGGAGAGGAUCUGUUUCCUCUUAGGGCUUAAGACCCCUCUUCAGAAGGCCUGAUCCUUUCUCAGAACCUGCAGAUCCCAGGUGGAGGUGGGAG